GACGAACGCUGGCGGCGUGCUUAACACAUGCAAGUCGAACGGAAAGGCCCUGCUUUUGUGGGAUGCUCGAGUGGCGAACGGGUGAGUAACACGUGAGUAACCUGCCCUUGACUUUGGGAUAACUUCAGGAAACUGGGGCUAAUACCGGAUAGGAGCUCCUGCUGCAUGGUGGGGGUUGGAAAGUUUCGGCGGUUGGGGAUGGACUCGCGGCUUAUCAGCUUGUUGGUGGGGUAGUGGCUUACCAAGGCUUUGACGGGUAGCCGGCCUGAGAGGGUGACCGGCCACAUUGGGCCUGCGAUACGGCCCAGACUCCUACGGGAGGCAGCAGUGGGGAAUAUUGCACAAUGGGCGGAAGCCUGAGGCAGCAACGCCGCGUGCGGGAUGACGGCCUUCGGGUUGUAAACCGCUUUCGCCUGUGACGAAGCGUGAGUGACGGUAAUGGGUAAAGAAGCACCGGCUAACUACGUG
Molecule: ribosomal RNA, 468 nt
Filed under: uncultured bacterium
Lineage: Bacteria
Description: partial 16S ribosomal RNA
Rfam family: Bacterial small subunit ribosomal RNA
Source: RNAcentral